This is a long non-coding RNA of Juglans microcarpa x Juglans regia, 348 nucleotides long. RefSeq lists it as uncharacterized. The record is from RefSeq and is a predicted model, not a curated record. Lineage: Eukaryota; Viridiplantae; Streptophyta; Magnoliopsida; Fagales; Juglandaceae. The transcript has 2 exons.
UCACCCACCAAAAGCCCUUACCGAACUUACUCCUUGUUCCAGCAAGGUCUCUAUUUCAUCGUGACUUAAUUUGUAUGAUGGAGAAGGAUCCAAAAGCGGGCAACGAACAUCCAGAGGUCGAUUUGUAGUGUGCUUUGACGACGGGUUGGAAGAUUUCGGUUUUUAUCAAGGUAUUCUUUUUGCCCUUCAUAAUCCUAGCUACCAGCAAAAUCUCUAGUGCGGAGAAAUUAUUAGUAUGUGUACCACUGUGGAAACCUUGAAAAAAGCGAAGUAUUUUGAUUAUUUGGUUAUUUCUCGGAUACAGAUCAAAUGUUAUUUUUCCGUUAUGACAUUUCAUAGUUGGCUUUU